This is a non-coding RNA of Megalopta genalis, 2724 nucleotides long. Lineage: Eukaryota; Metazoa; Arthropoda; Insecta; Hymenoptera; Halictidae. The record is from RefSeq and is a predicted model, not a curated record.
AAGUCUAGAGUCCUAGAUUUACAGAGUUCUAGACUUUAAGAGGUCUAGAAUUCUAGAAGUCUAGAGUUCUAGAAUUCUAGAGUUCGCGAGAGCUCAAGAGUUCGAGACUUCUAGAGUUCUAGAGUCCUAGAGUUCAAGAAUUCUAAAGUCCUAGUAUCCCAGAGUUCUAGAGUUCAAGAGUUCUAGAUUUCUAGAGUUCUAAAUUUCUGAGGUUCUAGAAUUCUAGAGUUCUAGAAUUCAAGAAUUUUUCAGAGUCCUAUAGUUCAAGAAUUCUAGAGUCCUAGAGUCCCAGAGUUCUAGACUUCUAGAGUUCUUCUUUUUUGUACAAAGAUUCUCGGACUAUUCAUCACUAUGUCUCACGUAUUCUGUAUACCGAUCCUUUGAAUUGGAUUCUCGAUAUAACACUUAUACCAGCGACAUCAACCUCAUCAGUGAUGUUUUUAAUAAAUUUAAAGAUCAACCAUUGUAAUAUUAUCGGAUGCUAGGACGUUUAGUUUGCGCUUGUUUUGUAUAUUGUAACCAUAUUGUUCCCAUUUUGAUUUGUAUUAUUAUCCUAUUAUCUACUAUAUUAUUAUUAUUAUUACUAUUAUCAUUAUCAUUAUUAUUAUUAUUAAUUAUUUAUUUAUUAAUUAUUAUUAAAUUAAAAAGAAACCCGACGCAUUUAUGCUAAGUAAAAUCUCAAACAGAAUACAUAUAUCGAAGUUUAUGGUAUCGAUUCCGAAGAAGAAAACAAGAACAAAUGUUUUUCUCCUUUCGUUUUUCUCGCAUCCAGUGGAACGCAACUUGUAUCGUUUUGCCCUAGAAUCCGAGAUUUACCGACGGGAUUUUAUUGGUCGAGAAGGCAGUUAAUCGGACGUUUCGAAACGAGCCGUUAUCCGCGUUUCGCGUCGCGCGAGUCGUUCCGUUUGGCUCGAGCGACGCGAAGGUUUGCUCGGUUUGGGUCCGAAGCUUUUCGUAUCGACGGAACGAACGGCGCGGUAAAUAAAGGAUAUUUCAAGAAACAGAUGCAGAAGCACGCGCGCGAGCUCGUCUCUAUCCGUUUAUUUACGAGGAUGUAAACGCAAUUACGUAUCGAGCGCGAAGAGGCCGAGAUCGGUAACGAGAUUGGUUCUCUUGAAUUUCGUAUAUCGUCUCGCGCGCGUUCGUCCGGGACGACCGAACGAUUUAUCACCGGAAUCAAUCCAAUCGCGUUCUCCUAGAGUGGGGGCAUCUCACGAUCGCUGAGCGACAAGCGGCGAGCGACGCGCGACGCGUCGUGGCUCUCGCAUAAUCGUUCGAUUUGUACUUGUCGGUUUUCGAAAACGACGCGUACUACGGUUUUCUCGCGUAUCGAUUCCAUUCACCGUACACUUUCCUCUUCGCGAGUCUUUUAAAUACCGCGGCCGUACUCGUUUCACGCCGUUACAAUACAUACGUGGAAGAAAACUGCCGCGAGACGGUUAGCUACACACAUACACGCACACACAAAGUUUGUAGUCUCUUUGAAACAUUGGCGAGAAUAAAUGUGCUUUCUGCGUGAACUACAACCGAUCGUUGCUCCUUCGGGGAAAUAAUAAUAAUAAUCGCUCGAGCCUCGGAUGCUGCGAUUUCGGUUAUUUUAGGUUAUAUUUUCGACUUGAUUAUAUUUUAAUCUAACCUAAUUUAUUUAUAUAUACCGGUGAAAGCCCAUUUUGUACAAUACAGAACUGAAAGUUAAUAUUAAUAUAAUAUAUGAAUAGAUUAUGUAAACUCGUUUCGAAUUGUGUAAUAUUGCCUGUAAAUAUGUAUGUCUAUUUCGUCGCUAUUGUCGUCAACAAUUUGAAGCGUCCCGUAAAAAGUUAAGGAAUCGCGUUGAAAAACCUGUUGCUACUGGUUUCGAAAGAAUCUCGACGAACGAACAAAUUUCGAAGAAAAUUUUGCACCAAAAAUACCGUCAAGCGAACCAAAUGGAUCACUGGACAAAAGGAUCGGCGAUAAUUUCAAGUGGUCGACAGAAUUUACUUCUUCAACAGUUAAGGAAACGCGUUGAAAAACUUGCUACUGGUUCCGGAAGAAUUUCGAACAAAUUUCGAACAAAUUUCGAAGAAAAUCUUAUACCAAAAAUAUCGUCAAACGAACCAAAUGGAUCACUGGUCGCAAGUCCCCGGAAAUAAUUAUCGGAUGGCAGUAGUCAGCAAGGAUCUUCGACGUUGGCAAGCGUUGCCAUUCGAUCCCCCUAACGUCCUCGAUAGGCUAUUUCGCGAGGCUCGACACCUUUCGCUAUACCGAUUGAACGCGCAACGCGUACUUGCAUUUUUUUCAUGCGAAUAUUUAAGCUUUCUCUCGGUUCCGUUGAAAUCGACGUUUUUUACGGCGCAGUCGAUUCGAUAUCCUACACGUUAUGUGUACUGUAAAAUUCCAAUGGAACUUCAAUUAUCCGGCAUGCUUGGAAUCAGAACAGAAUUGGAUAAUCAAAUAUGCCAGAUAGUUGGUCCACGCCUUUAUUUUCCUCCUUAUUAUCAUUAGCUACUUAUGGUCGAUUUGUGGUAUAUUCAUGCUCUAUUUACGGUCUACUUAUGAUUUUUUCAUUUUAUCUGGCAGCGAUAAACGCACGGAUCGAAUCUGUCGCUUCGGAAAAAUUUAUCUGCAGGAUGUUAGACGAAGUCUAGCAAUUCGAUGGUUAAAGAAAUAUUUUCGGGAAAGGUGCACUUAUUGUUAUAGAGAAAAUUGUAUACUUUGUUAUAGAAUAAAAAUUAUUCUUGCCAU